AUGGCCGCACCCUCGGAGGCUAGCGGAUCGCGAUCCAAAACCCCUGAAGACCCUAGCGUUUUGCUGGAGCGCUUGCAUCUGGAGGAGGAUGAAUUGGAUAAUUUGGUGUGGGAAGAAGAAGCGGAUGAACCAGAUGAGAAGCCAAAGCGGCUUGCACUGGCCAGGGUUUUGACGAACAAGUCCUUUGGGCAGGGGACGUUGAUCGCCGACAUGAAAGCGGCUUGGAACCCUGCCAAGGAGGUGGUUUGGAGAAGAAUUAACCCAAACCUGUUUUCGGUGCAGUUCAAUUGUCUAGCAGACUGG
This 303-nucleotide ribosomal RNA is filed under the name Triticum aestivum (bread wheat). RNAcentral describes it as "partial small subunit ribosomal RNA". Lineage: Eukaryota; Viridiplantae; Streptophyta; Magnoliopsida; Poales; Poaceae. The record is from RNAcentral.